AACGAACGCUGGCGGCAUGCCUAACACAUGCAAGUCGAACGAGACCUUCGGGUCUAGUGGCGCACGGGUGCGUAACGCGUGGGAACCUGCCCUUAGGUUCGGAAUAACUCCCCGAAAGGGGUGCUAAUACCGGAUAAUGUCUUCGGACCAAAGAUUUAUCGCCUUUGGAUGGGCCCGCGUUGGAUUAGCUAGUUGGUAGGGUAAAAGCCUACCAAGGCGACGAUCCAUAGCUGGUAUGAGAGGAUGAUCAGCCACACUGGGACUGAGACACGGCCCAGACUCCUACGGGAGGCAGGAGUGGGGAAUAUUGGACAGUGGGCGAAAGCCUGAUCCAGCAAUGCCGCGUGAGUGAUGAAGGCCUUAGGGUUGUAAAGCUCGUUUACCCGGGAUGAUAAUGACAGUACCGGGAGAAUAAGCGCCGGCUAACUCCGUG
RNAcentral lists this ribosomal RNA (433 nucleotides) under uncultured bacterium. RNAcentral's name for it is "partial 16S ribosomal RNA". It matches the Rfam family "Bacterial small subunit ribosomal RNA", at positions 29 to 507 of the family's 1533-position model. The record is from RNAcentral.